GGGCGUGUGGCUCAGUUGGUAGAGCGUUCGCUUAGCAGCUUUAUUUCCUCCUUUCUUCCUCUAAAAAGAAGGUACUCAGUGAGUGAAACUGGAAACAAAUACCUGCGAAAGGUCCUGGGUUCGAUUCCCAGCUCGUCCA
Non-coding RNA from Rhypophila decipiens, 139 nucleotides. NCBI's taxonomy places the organism in Eukaryota, Fungi, Ascomycota, Sordariomycetes, Sordariales, Naviculisporaceae. The record is from the annotation of a GenBank genome assembly.